AAACGAUGCGGUAAAUCCUUUUCCAGCCGCCAAAAAAAUCCAAUCAAGCUUCCCUCUUGAAUCGGCUCUUAUCCCCUCUGAAAGGAAAAGUUUGUCCGAGGGGGUUUUCUGGCGAUAUAUCCUAAACCAGGUCGGCUCAUGCUUUCAAUGCCUUUACCAUGGCAGAUAAGCCUGUAGAAAAAAGCAUCCCCCACUUCUCAGUGACAAAGCGAGCGCUCUCAGGUGAUAUUAAAAAAUCCUAAUGGGUGUUGGAACCGUCGAGCUCAACGGCCAUAACUGCAAAUGAGAUUCCUCUUGUGUUGUAUAGUGAUCCGUGUGCAGGGCCGGCUGAGCUGUAGCAAAGGCUCCUCUCUACAAUCGGGGCCGACAGGCAUGAUGAGUUGACACAAAGCUGGUCUGAGCCAUGCCAAUCCCCCAGUGCCACAGGCUCAAUCCAGGCCUGUUCAACUUGUGUACUCCAGGUCUUCAGGUAACCCACAAUCCUCUGCUGCUCCCCUUUGUCAAGCCUGUAAACACAUUAAUCCACGCUCCUGGCCCUGGUCCCUUUUUGAACCCCGGAAGCAGGAAACCAAAAGUUCUCCUUUCCUCUCUGAGGAGCCAAACGGAGAAAAGGUGGUCGUCCUUCUGCGUCCAGCCUCCCUCAUGCAUCUGCAGCGCGACUCAUGCUGUAGCGUCCUCACACCUGGGAUGGUCGUCUGGAAAAUCAA
This is a long non-coding RNA of Labrus mixtus (cuckoo wrasse), 707 nucleotides long. RefSeq lists it as uncharacterized. The record is from RefSeq and is a predicted model, not a curated record. NCBI's taxonomy places the organism in Eukaryota, Metazoa, Chordata, Actinopteri, Labriformes, Labridae. The transcript has 2 exons.